UGGUCAAGUUAUUAAGGGUGCAGGGCGGAUGCCUUGGCACUAGGAGCCGAUGAAGGACGUGAUAAGCUGCGAUAAGCUUCGGGGAGUUGCACGUAAACUUUGAUCCGAAGAUUUCCGAAUGAGGAAACUCACUUAGAGUAAUGUCUAAGUAUCAUUAAGUGAAUACAUAGCUUAAUGAGGGGAACUCAGGGAACUGAAACAUCUAAGUACCUGAAGGAAGAGAAAGAAAUUCGAUUCCGUAAGUAGCGGCGAGCGAACGCGGAUUAGCCCAAACCAAUAAAGUUUUCUUUAUUGGGGUUGAGGACAUACCACAUAUAAGAGGUCAUUAUAGACGAAGAAGUUUGGAAAAACUCAUCAUAGAAGGUAAUAAUCCUGUAGUCAAAAUAAUAAUUCUUUAGGUAUGAUCCAGAGUACCACGGGACACGUGAAACCCUGUGGGAAGCAGGAGGGACCACCCUCCAAGGCUAAAUACUACCUAGUGACCGAUAGCGUAUAGUAC
This 499-nucleotide ribosomal RNA is filed under the name Clostridioides difficile. Its description in RNAcentral is "partial 23S ribosomal RNA". It matches the Rfam family "Bacterial large subunit ribosomal RNA", at positions 1 to 501 of the family's 2925-position model. The record is from RNAcentral. Lineage: Bacteria; Bacillati; Bacillota; Clostridia; Peptostreptococcales; Peptostreptococcaceae.